This 252-nucleotide ribosomal RNA is filed under the name uncultured bacterium. Its description in RNAcentral is "partial 16S ribosomal RNA". It matches the Rfam family "Bacterial small subunit ribosomal RNA", at positions 524 to 776 of the family's 1533-position model. The record is from RNAcentral.
UACGGGGGGGGCAAGCGUUGUUCGGAAUUACUGGGCGUAAAGGGCUCGUAGGUGGCCAACUAAGUCGGACGUGAAAUCCCUCAGCUUAACUGGGGAACUGCGUCCGAUACUGGAUGGCUUGAGUUUGGGAGAGGGAUGCGGAAUUCCAGGUGUAGCGGUGAAUGCGUAGAUAUCUGGAGGAACACCGGUGGCGAAGGCGGCUUCUGGGCCAAUACCGAGCGCUGAGGACGAAAGCGUAGGGGAGCAAACAGG